RNAcentral lists this ribosomal RNA (1536 nucleotides) under Elusimicrobiota bacterium. Its description in RNAcentral is "bacterial SSU rRNA". It matches the Rfam family "Bacterial small subunit ribosomal RNA". The record is from RNAcentral. Lineage: Bacteria; Pseudomonadati; Elusimicrobiota.
UUUUUGGAGAGUUUGAUCUUGGCUCAGAGUGAACGCUGGCGGCAUGCCUAACACAUGCAAGUCGAACGGAUCUUGGUUGCCCGCAAGGGUGAUUAAGAUUAGUGGCAAACGGGUGAGUAACACGUGGGUAAUUUCCCUCCGACAUGAACACAACCUUGAGAAAUUGAGGCUAAUAUUCAAUAGUCUUAGCUUUACUAUGUAGAGCUAGGUAAAGGUCUGGGUUAAACCAGACGGUCAGAGAUAAGCCCGCGGUCUAUCAGCUAGUUGGUAGGGUAAUGGCCUACCAAGGCUUUGACGGAUAGCCGGCCUGAAAGGGUGAUCGGCCACAUUGGCACUGAGAUACGGGCCAGACUCCUACGGGAGGCAGCAGUGGGGAAUUUUGGACAAUGGGCGCAAGCCUGAUCCAGCAAUGCCGCGUGAGGGAUGAAGGUCUUCGGAUUGUAAACCUCUUUUGGAGGGGAUGAAGCUUCUAGCAAUAGGAGUUGACAGUACCUUCCGAAUAAGCCACGGCUAACUACGUGCCAGCAGCCGCGGUAAUACGUAGGUGGCGAGCGUUAUUCGGAUUUACUAGGUGUAAAGCACAGGUAGGUGGUCGAGUAAGUUGGGAGUGAAAGCCCUUGAUAAGUCAGGGGAUGUCUUUCAAAACUGCUCGGCUUGAGUGUAAGAGGGGAAACCGGAAUUCCAGGUGUAGCGGUGAAAUGCGUAGAUAUCUGGAGGAAUACCGAUGGCGAAAGCGGGUUUCUAGCUUAUUACUGACACUGAGCUGUGAAGGCGCGGGGAGCAAACAGGAUUAGAUACCCUGGUAGUCCGCGCGGUAAACUAUGUUCACUUGGUAUGGGAGGUAUCGACCCCUUCUGUGCCGAAGCUAACGCAUUAAGUGAACCACCUGGGGAGUACGGCCGCAAGGUUGAAACUCAAAAGAAUUGACGGGGGCCCGCACAAGUGGUGGAGCAUGUGGUUUAAUUCGACGCAACGCGAAGAACCUUACCCGGGCUUGAAGUUCUGGUGGUAUCCUGACGAAAGAUUAGGAGACUCGCAAGAGAGCCAGAAGAGGUGCUGCAUGGUUGUCGUCAGCUCGUGCCGUGAGGUGUAUGGUUAAGUCCCAUAACGAGCGCAACCCUUGUCCUAUGUUGCUAACUUCGCAAGAAGAGCACUCUUAGGAGACUGCCCAGGUUAACUGGGACGGAAGUGGGGAUGACGUCAAAUCAUCAUGGCCUUUAUGUCCGGGGCUACACACGUGCUACAAUGGCCGCUACAGAGGGAUGCCAAACCGUAAGGUGGAGCAAAUCCUUUAAAGGCGGCCCCAGUUCAGAUUGAGGACUGCAACUCGUCCUCAUGAAGUCGGAAUCACUAGUAAUCGCUGAUCAGCAGGCAGCGGUGAAUACGUUCCCGGGCCUUGUACACACCGCCCGUCACACCAUGGGAGCUAGUUGCAACAGAUGUCCCGCCUCGCGUGGGAUGAAGUUGUGAUUAGUGACUGGGGUGAAGUCGUAACAAGGUAGGCGUACGAGAACGUGCGCCUGGAUCACCUCCUUU